This 323-nucleotide ribosomal RNA is filed under the name Salmonella enterica. Its description in RNAcentral is "bacterial SSU rRNA". It matches the Rfam family "Bacterial small subunit ribosomal RNA", at positions 1193 to 1515 of the family's 1533-position model. RNAcentral also lists the same sequence under 3 other names. The record is from RNAcentral. Lineage: Bacteria; Pseudomonadati; Pseudomonadota; Gammaproteobacteria; Enterobacterales; Enterobacteriaceae.
UCAUGGCCCUUACGACCAGGGCUACACACGUGCUACAAUGGCGCAUACAAAGAGAAGCGACCUCGCGAGAGCAAGCGGACCUCAUAAAGUGCGUCGUAGUCCGGAUUGGAGUCUGCAACUCGACUCCAUGAAGUCGGAAUCGCUAGUAAUCGUGGAUCAGAAUGCCACGGUGAAUACGUUCCCGGGCCUUGUACACACCGCCCGUCACACCAUGGGAGUGGGUUGCAAAAGAAGUAGGUAGCUUAACCUUCGGGAGGGCGCUUACCACUUUGUGAUUCAUGACUGGGGUGAAGUCGUAACAAGGUAACCGUAGGGGAACCUGC